RNAcentral lists this long non-coding RNA (693 nucleotides) under Daphnia magna. RNAcentral's name for it is "uncharacterized LOC116927241, transcript variant X2". The record is from RNAcentral. Lineage: Eukaryota; Metazoa; Arthropoda; Branchiopoda; Diplostraca; Daphniidae.
UUCAGCUCAGUGACGGUUAUUGCCAAUCUACCUAAGAAAACAUGGCGGCGUCGGUAAAGCUUGUUGGAUUUUGUUUUAUUUGUAAAGCCAUUUACGACAAGGAAAACCAGAAAGUUUUCAUUGUUUUGUUCCUCUCUGUCAACGUCAGCAGGUGUGACUGUGCUGUAUUCACCUAGUUUAUCAACGACCAACAACCAAUCUUUUGAAGAUGUCUCUGCCCUCGGUAUACAGCACACAAAUGAUGUUGACUCAUCAGUAGAUUCCUUUCCUAAUACUGAUGACAGUGGAGAUGUUUUCCCAUCUUCUGCAUUGGCUAGUGCAAAUACGUUAACAACAGCCUCUAAUGUAGAUCACCUCAUUACUGAUUCGCCAAGCACGCCAAUGCUGUCAUCUGAUCAACAAGCUUCUCGUUUCGGAAAUGAUGUCUCUACAAAAAGUUCUAUUAUCAAUAGAACCGAAUUCGUUUAGAUAAUGAUUUCACACGGUACCUAACGACCAAACGCUGCCUGUGAUUUGACCAAAAAUUGAACAACGAAAAAUAUUUACAUUACAACAUUUAGUUACUUACUUUUUUAAUUCCAUGUUUUGGAACAAUCGUAGAUCCUUUUAUAUUCUAACUUUUUUGACCGUCUGAAACCAAUAUUUGACAUUUUGUAUUAAUCAUUACCAGUUUGAAUACAUUCAUUUCUUAGA